AUGAGAAGCGUUGACUUAAGAGAUGCCAAGUCACUCAGCAGAUGUCACACAGAUGACAACUAGCAAAGAUGGAAGGCUUCAUGCUGGAGGCAGUUCUAUAAGACAGCUGAGUUCUCCAGAGCUGGUAGGAGACAGACUUGCUCAGGUGAUAGAUCCGGCCAUGAUAUUGGCCAUAAGAGAAUCUGACACUGCAGAAGUCAUAGAAGAUUCCUGAAACUGGGAAAGAUGCCUAGAAAUCUGGAGAAGAGUGAAGAAGCAGCUGGCAGGCAGAGCCCCCUUCCACAUCACUAUGAAAGACAUCCAACAGACAGCAAGUUUCCACCUCACUUCCAGCUUGAUUCCUCUUUAUCUCCUAAUUGCGGCGUGUGAUGUCUUCAGGAGUGGAAUUAACUAGUUCUGGGUACCUGGAGGCACAGCAGCCAUGUUGAACCUAUGAGGUGAUGAAAAGCCAUGCAACUAGAAGCCAGAAUGGAAGAAAAGAAGAGGCUGGAUCCCUGACUGAAUUGUCGAUGGGGAUAGUCCGUCAUCCCAGGGCUAAGACCACCUCCAUAUUUCUUGUUUGGUGAAACAAUUCCUAACUGGUUACAUUCCUUUAUGUUGAGCUGUCUCUUACUUGUAGCUGAAAGCGAUUCUAAUAGAUAUUCAGAUUAUCUGCACACUGAGGGGCAGCCUUAGCUCCAAGCUAGAAUACUCUAGGGGACUUUAGCUUCUCCAUGAAUUCCUUUGCUCAUCUGUGUAAUGCUCAAUAAAUGUAAAUUGAACCCUGAAUGAGGGACAAUGAC
Molecule: long non-coding RNA, 782 nt
Filed under: Mus pahari (shrew mouse)
Lineage: Eukaryota; Metazoa; Chordata; Mammalia; Rodentia; Muridae
Description: Pvt1 oncogene (MGP_PahariEiJ_G0004808.1)
Source: RNAcentral